This 387-nucleotide long non-coding RNA is filed under the name Hordeum vulgare. RNAcentral describes it as "long non-coding RNA (HVUL_LNC017623)". The record is from RNAcentral. Lineage: Eukaryota; Viridiplantae; Streptophyta; Magnoliopsida; Poales; Poaceae.
UUGCUGACUUGCCGCCCUUCUUCACCUUGUCGCUGUUCUUGUUCGCCUUGGCACCGCCGUUGCCGGACUUGAUCGAUUCAGCAUCGCUAUCCGCCAUCGUAGAUAGUAGAUCGUGAAGGCUAUAGAUACCAAUUAUUGGCUUUGAUCCCUAGAUCGAAUCAUCCAGAAGCUACCACGUACUUGUAAGCAAAGCUAACAAGCAAGCAAGCUAGCAGCUUGAUGGAUUUUGCAUGCAACACAUACGUACGCGACCUGGUAAAAGCUGGAUCGAAUCGAUCGUAGAUGGAUACUCUCGACGGGUUUUCUGCGACUUAGCGAACGAAGGCACCGAAUCGAUGGAUUGCAAACAGGCUCGUGUCAAGCCUUGCUUUUUUGCUUUAAUUUGUA